GGAUGGAGAGAGCAUUGUUGGACCAAACCUCAUCUAUGUACUCAACUAUGAUUGCAGAUUCACAUAUGACUUUAUCUCCAUGGAAGAAAACUGGGAUUUUCUUGUGCACAGGGUUGGACUUAAGAAGCAAUUCACUUUUGGGAUUCAAAGUCUCUUCAACAACCUCAUAAUCCAAACCCUUGAGGUUAAGGGCAAUCUGCACCCUCAGGGCAAAUGGACUGAACCAAGCACCCAAAAGCCUCAAGUCCCUUUCAGCCAUCACUGUUUACUAUAACAGGUCAAACACGGAGCAAUAUUGUGUUUGUUUUGUUAGGUUACUCAGCAGGAAAUGUGGAGUUUUAUGUAUGGGAAAGGAGGGUGAGAUAACAUUGUGUGAUAAGCAUGCUAGAAUAAAUUAUUAGGUAAUCCUAAAUCAUCCAUGUAUGUAUGGAAUAUUGACCAAUUUACAAGAAACAUAUAUUUAGAUUAUUUAAUUUUAAAAAAAUAAAUAUAUCCAGAUUAAAUCAGUGAUAAAUUAAACCACGACCACCUAAUAAUGUUUUCUUGAAUAGAGGCUACACCAAAUAUAUUAUGCAUUGAACGCAUCAAAUAUGUCGAUGACAACUGAUUAAAGAUAUUAUAUAAUGAUUAUUAAUAUAAUAAUACAAAUUAAAAAAGACAAAGGAAAUUACACGAUGCUGGAAUCAAAGUUCUUCUGCAAAAGUCAAAACUACCCAGGACGUCGUGAAUGUAGGAACCGCCGACGAUACUGACUUUAAAUGAGUUUUAUAUGUUCUUUCGUACUAUUGUAAUUAUAAUGAAAAAGAAAACCAGUCCUCAACAGAAUUUUAUCGUAAUGAAAGGAAAAAAAAAAUGUGACGCAAGUGAUGAAGUUAGAUGCCAAUAAAGUUCUUAAUAAAAACUAAAGAUGAAGGAAGCAAUGAUAAUAGAUGCCAACGUUUUCCACGGUUUCACAUCUUCUUCCUCCAGUUUUUCAAUAUUCAGUUUCAUAUAUCUUUAUUGUAUAAAGUCUUAUGUUCUGUGAUGACGUAUUGUCUUGACUCUUGAGGGCAAGAGAGACAUAAGAGAGUGAGAAUGCCAAAGACAUAGGGAGUAUUUUUUUUUCUUCUUAAAUUUAAUUUAAUAUCAUUUUAUUUUUAUUUAUUUAUAGAUAUUUUUAAUAUGGUGGCACUAUCUUUUUUAAUGUGUUGAACCCUUCAUAUUUAGGGUAGUGACUACUACCCAAGUUUUUCCCUUAGGAAAAUCAACUCAAAUUGUUUAAUGUGUCCAACUCUUCAUAAUUCAUAUAUAGGGUAGUGUUUUACCCAAGGCCUCCUCAAUAGUCAAUACAUGAACCCAAAAAGUUGAAAUUCACACAACAGUGGGACACAAUAAUUCAAGUGGGACAAACUAAUAGUACUGCAGUUCAAAGAACAAGCCAGAAUUGCGUUAUCUUGUUUUUCUUGAACGAUUCAAUAUUUAAAAGCCUUACGAAUGCAGUUUGACCAUUUGAGAUGAAAAAUAAUUUAUAAAUAUAAUAAGUGAUAUGACUUAAUAAGAAAAUUGAAAUACAAAGAAAUAAACGAUAAAAAAUAAGUAUUUGUAAUAUAUGAGAUAUAAUUGUUUAAUCUAUAAUAAAUUACCUCUAAUUUGAAUUGAGUUAUGUAAAUUUAUUCAAGAGGAUAAAUAUCUUUUGAUAUAUACUUUUAUUUGAUUUUUAAUUUGACUCUUAAUAAAAAUUAAACUUCUCAUCGUUUAGAGUUUGAUAUUCCACAUUUUUUUAAUUCUAGAAAAUUAUUUUGAUUUUUAAAUUUAGACUUUCACCUUUGUAUUGCAAUGUGUAAUUUUGAUAUUUUUAUUUUACAAUUUAUCUAAAUUUUUUUCAAUUUUUUUUACGUACCUAUUAGAGAUGAUAUGAUUGUUUGAUGCAUAGUGAGAUUUUUUUUUAUAAAGGUUAUUGUUUUUCGUCACAAAGCUGUAUGGUUGUUUUUCGUUCUCACACUUUUUUUAUUUACCCAAACCUACUUCAUGUAAAAAAAAAACAUUUUAAUAUUACGAAGAUAAAAAAUAUACUAAAAAUUUACAGAAACAAAUUUUAAAUAAUUUCAUAUUUAUAAGAAUAAAAAUCAUAUUUUAACAUAUACUUUUCACAUAUACUUGAUAUAAGUUGUGUGCCACCGGGCCCUCGUAUAAGUGGCUAGUAACUUAGGUUUUUUUAAAUAUAUAAUAGGACAAAAUUUGUUGGGAAAAGAAUUUUUCUUUAAUUGGUACUCUACUUUUUUUUAGUAAGUUUCAUGACUUUCGGUAGUGGAAAUAUUUUUGCUUCUAGAUAAAUAUAUAUAUAUAUAUAUAUAUAUAUAUAUAUAUAUAUAUAUAUAAGUUGUGUAUCUUUCCAAAUAAUAUUUUUUAGUAGAACCAUUACUAUAUUGCGUUUGAACAUGAUUUUGAAUUCUAAAUCACAAUUUAACUGAAAAUGGAAUAAAACUCUUUAUAUGUAAAACUAACCAUGCUAGCAGCCCAUGGAGAAGAAGAAGGGUAGUCUUGCAGAGAAGAUGGUGUUUUUGUUCAACAGUAUCCUCUUUAAGUUAGUCUGCUGUCAAGAGCUACCUGGCCACAAAACAAAUGGAUUGAGCCCACUUGAGGGAUUUUAUUGUAACUGUCCUCAAGAAACCGAAUCUCCUAAAAUAAAGAAAAAAGCAGGGUUCUUUGCUUCAUCAAACACUUUUCUUUCAUUCAUCUCUUCUAUCACUCUCAUCCAACUCCAAAGGCUCCCAAAAGCAAUGUCAAUAAUUCCAAUUGUAUCCCCUCCCAAAGUAGGCCUUUCCUUCACUGCACUUGUUGAACACUUCUUCCAUCCUCUCAAGUGCUUCUUCCAUUCCCACAAAGUGUGGCUUCUUUGCCUCAUCAUCUUGAUCAGCUGCUUCAGCCAAUAGAGCAUUCCGCAUGGACGUAUACCACUACUCCAAGACUAAAGAUUAGUACUUAUUCAAUAAAAAACACACGAAAGCUUAUAGCCUCUAUAAGUUGGAAGUGUUGCCGCAUCCAACACCGACAUACCCUAGCAUUUGUUUCAUACUUCUUAUUAGGUAUAUAACUUAUACAUUUGAAAAAACAUUUUUUGGUUAAUUUUAAAAAAUAAAUAUAUCAUCAAUUUAGAUAUUUUAUUAUAUGUUAUUAUUUUAUUAGAAUCUCUUUGUUUAUUUGUAUGUGGUGUCCGUAUCAUAGACAUUAAGACAUUAGUUUGUCGAAGUGUUUGUGUUAGAAUUUGUGCUUCAUAGCUUAUAACUAACUUUUGAUGAUAAUUAAGCUGUUCAUGCAACUUAAUAAAAAAAACUUCUUGAAAAGGCCACACCGCCGCAGGUAACUUAGCGAAACACAUUACUUACAUGAGUUCAAUUAAGUUACAUAUAUAAAUUAUUGAGAAAUGAUACCGUACCACUGUAAAUUAAGAAGUUCGGGUAUAGUUGAAUUUUAUAACAUCUAUUAUUUCUUCUCUACCCAUUCAUUUGCCUCCAUAUUUCAAAGUAAUAAACUCAACUCAUAUAUUCUUGCCUUCUUUCUUUAUUUCACAUUAACCCGCACAUCAAUCCAGCACCAGCGAAUUGAGUUUGAGUUUGAGUUGUGUAAAUUACAUUUGAGGCUUGCAGCUAACAAUUAACAUGAAUUUUGUCAUUGGUACGUCUACAAAUUCUAUAAACUCUUCUCAGUAAUAAUAUUAUGCCUCCUUAUCAUUCGUUUAGCUCAAACUAUAUUUACAUAUAAGUUCUAACUUCUAAAAUUCUAAAUAUACUGUAUAUGAACGCAGCAGCUAAACACAGCUUGCUCAAAACGACUAAGUGUGGAACUUCCUAGCUUCGGAGUCCAGAAUUCUAGAAAAGUUAAAGCACUGUGGAACUCAUAGAUUCUUGCUUUUAUUAUUAUUAUUAUUUCACAUUAACCCGCGCAUCAACUCAGUGAAUUGAGAUUUGAGUUGCCCAAAUUAUAUCUGAGGCUUGCAGUUGGUGGAUUGAUGCGCGGAUUAAUGACACAAAGAAAUAAGGAAAGAAUCUAAGUUGAGUUUAUGUUUUUGAAAUAUGGAGGCAAAGAAUGGGCCGAGAAGAAAUAAUAGAUGUUAUAAAAUUCAGCUGUACCAAAACGGCAAAACCCCCUUAAUUUAUGGGUACGUUCUCUAAGUUAUUUCUAAGUUAGUUAGUAAAAGUAAAAAUAAGAAAACCAAAAACCAAAAUCCAAAAUCCAAAAUCAAAGGGGUUUAGUUUAGAUGGUAAAACUCUGGUACCUUCUUCGAUUUUUAGCGAUGAAAAAAAAAUCAAAACCAAAAGGAAUAUAUAUAAAUACCUUGUCAUCGAUGUAAACAACCCAAAAUCGGGCAAUAGCUCGGUCAUAAGCAUUUUAUGGAAGGAGGGAGGGAGCAUUGUUGAACCAAACCUCAUCAAUGUACUCAACUAUGAUUGCAGAUUCACAUAUAACUUUAUCUCCAUGGAAGAAAACUGGGAUUUUCUUGUGCACAGGGUUGGACUUAAGAAGCAACUCACUUUUGGGAUUUAAGGUCUCUUCAACAACCUCAUAAUCUAAACCCUUAAGGUUAAGGGCAAUCUGCACCCUCAGGGCAAAUGGACUGAACCAAGCACCCAAAAGCCACA
This 4619-nucleotide long non-coding RNA is filed under the name Glycine max (soybean). RNAcentral describes it as "long non-coding RNA (GMAX_LNC000262)". Lineage: Eukaryota; Viridiplantae; Streptophyta; Magnoliopsida; Fabales; Fabaceae. The record is from RNAcentral.